AGCUUGCUACCUGACCUAGCGGCGGACGGGUGAGUAAUGCUUAGGAAUCUGCCUAUUAGUGGGGGACAACAUUCCGAAAGGAAUGCUAAUACCGCAUACGCCCUACGGGGGAAAGCAGGGGAUCUUCGGACCUUGCGCUAAUAGAUGAGCCUAAGUCAGAUUAGCUAGUUGGUGGGGUAAAGGCCUACCAAGGCGACGAUCUGUAGCGGGUCUGAGAGGAUGAUCCGCCACACUGGGACUGAGACACGGCCCAGACUCCUACGGGAGGCAGCAGUGGGGAAUAUUGGACAAUGGGCGAAAGCCUGAUCCAGCCAUGCCGCGUGUGUGAAGAAGGCCUUUUGGUUGUAAAGCACUUUAAGCGAGGAGGAGGCUACUUGGAUUAAUACUCUAGGAUAGUGGACGUUACUCGCAGAAUAAGCACCGGCUAACUCUGUGCCAGCAGCCGCGGUAAUACAGAGGGUGCGAGCGUUAAUCGGAUUUACUGGGCGUAAAGCGUGCGUAGGCGGCUUUUUAAGUCGGAUGUGAAAUCCCUGAGCUUAACUUAGGAAUUGCAUUCGAUACUGGGAAGCUAGAGUAUGGGAGAGGAUGGUAGAAUUCCAGGUGUAGCGGUGAAAUGCGUAGAGAUCUGGAGGAAUACCGAUGGCGAAGGCAGCCAUCUGGCCUAAUACUGACGCUGAGGUACGAAAGCAUGGGGAGCAAACAGGAUUAGAUACCCUGGUAGUCCAUGCCGUAAACGAUGUCUACUAGCCGUUGGGGCCUUUGAGGCUUUAGUGGCGCAGCUAACGCGAUAAGUAGACCGCCUGGGGAGUACGGUCGCAAGACUAAAACUCAAAUGAAUUGACGGGGGCCCGCACAAGCGGUGGAGCAUGUGGUUUAAUUCGAUGCAACGCGAAGAACCUUACCUGGUCUUGACAUAGUAAGAACUUUCCAGAGAUGGAUUGGUGCCUUCGGGAACUUACAUACAGGUGCUGCAUGGCUGUCGUCAGCUCGUGUCGUGAGAUGUUGGGUUAAGUCCCGCAACGAGCGCAACCCUUUUCCUUAUUUGCCAGCGGGUUAAGCCGGGAACUUUAAGGAUACUGCCAGUGACAAACUGGAGGAAGGCGGGGACGACGUCAAGUCAUCAUGGCCCUUACGACCAGGGCUACACACGUGCUACAAUGGUCGGUACAAAGGGUUGCUACCUAGCGAUAGGAUGCUAAUCUCAAAAAGCCGAUCGUAGUCCGGAUUGGAGUCUGCAACUC
This 1241-nucleotide ribosomal RNA is filed under the name uncultured Acinetobacter sp. RNAcentral describes it as "bacterial SSU rRNA". It matches the Rfam family "Bacterial small subunit ribosomal RNA", at positions 77 to 1313 of the family's 1533-position model. Lineage: Bacteria; Pseudomonadati; Pseudomonadota; Gammaproteobacteria; Moraxellales; Moraxellaceae. The record is from RNAcentral.